Molecule: long non-coding RNA, 528 nt
Organism: Alnus glutinosa
Lineage: Eukaryota; Viridiplantae; Streptophyta; Magnoliopsida; Fagales; Betulaceae
Exons: 2
Source: RefSeq, a predicted model, not a curated record
UUAAAGGGUAUUAUAGAUAUUAAUUAAUAAAUGCCGUAAUAAUGUCCGAAUAAAAUAUGUGGUAAUAUAAUUAACCUAUUUUAUGCCGAUUUAAUAUCUAAGCGAUAUUAAGAAUUGGGCUAAGCGGGUUAAAAGUCGAAAGUGAUGAAAGUGUCAAAAUAAGUUCUUAGUAUUUUAUACUAAUUUAUUAUUGCAUGUAUAUAAUUAUGCAGUUAUCAUUCCUGUAAAUACUUUCUGAAGCAGGAAAGAACUGUUAUGAAGAAGAUGAGUAUCAGGAUUGUCCAGACCUUUAGGUGAUCUUGAUAGCAGUGUUUGAGGUUGGGAUGCCUCCAUUUUGUGGACUGCUGUGUUCCAGUCCUUUAUUAUAUUAUCUUGAGAAUGAUAUUUAUAUUUCUGUUGGUGUGUAUUAACUAUACUCUAGUUAUUUUGGCUUGUAAAUUAUAUGUGCCUUGUAUGGCACAAAUACUAUCUUAUGUGUAAUUAUUCAGUUACACUUUAUAUAUCUAUUUUGAGGUAUUUCAGUUAGAA